Molecule: ribosomal RNA, 255 nt
Filed under: uncultured bacterium
Lineage: Bacteria
Description: partial small subunit ribosomal RNA
Rfam family: Bacterial small subunit ribosomal RNA
Source: RNAcentral
AGGACGAACGCUGGCGGCGUGCUUAACACAUGCAAGUCGAGCGGAAAGGCCCUUCGGGGUACUCGAGCGGCGAACGGGUGAGUAACACGUGAGCAACCUGCCCUUAGCUCUGGGAUAGCUCCGGGAAACCGGAAUUAAUACCGGAUACGACCUAGGCCGACAUCGGCCAUGGUGGAAAGUUUUUUCGGCUAGGGAUGGACUCGCGGCCUAUCAGCUAGUUGGUGGGGUAAAGGCCUACAAGGCGACGACGGGUAG